This 247-nucleotide ribosomal RNA is filed under the name uncultured bacterium. RNAcentral's name for it is "partial 16S ribosomal RNA". It matches the Rfam family "Bacterial small subunit ribosomal RNA", at positions 86 to 334 of the family's 1533-position model. The record is from RNAcentral.
AGAUGGCGACCGGCGCACGGGUGAGUAACACGUAUCCAACCUGCCGAUAACUCCGGAAUAGCCUUUCGAAAGAAAGAUUAAUACCGGAUAGCAUACGAAUAUCGCAUGAUACUUUUAUUAAAGAAUUUCGGUUAUCGAUGGGGAUGCGUUCCAUUAGUUUGUUGGCGGGGUAACGGCCCACCAAGACUACGAUGGAUAGGGGUUCUGAGAGGAAGGUCCCCCACAUUGGAACUGAGACACGGUCCAA